CCUUCAUGAUGACAACCCACAUACGUCUUACGCCGUGUGUCAAUGCCAGACCUGAAAAGGUGAACCCACUGGUGUUGCCACGGCAACAGGGUGAUGACCUGUUGGGGUUACCAACGGUCUGAUUGGA
This is a small nucleolar RNA of Girardinichthys multiradiatus, 127 nucleotides long. RefSeq annotates it as small nucleolar RNA SNORD22. The record is from RefSeq and is a predicted model, not a curated record. The transcript has a single exon. Lineage: Eukaryota; Metazoa; Chordata; Actinopteri; Cyprinodontiformes; Goodeidae.